Molecule: non-coding RNA, 24 nt
Filed under: Arabidopsis thaliana (thale cress)
Lineage: Eukaryota; Viridiplantae; Streptophyta; Magnoliopsida; Brassicales; Brassicaceae
Source: RNAcentral
GCAAAUGCCACUGUCACGCGUUUA